Long non-coding RNA from Capsicum annuum, 668 nucleotides. RefSeq lists it as uncharacterized. Lineage: Eukaryota; Viridiplantae; Streptophyta; Magnoliopsida; Solanales; Solanaceae. The transcript has 3 exons. The record is from RefSeq and is a predicted model, not a curated record.
GAUAAUUUUUUUUUUCAAAUUCCGUUUUUUUUCUCUCUCUUAUCAAUCUCCAUUUGAAAAGUUGAAGAAUUUUCCAUUUCUAUAUAUCCAUGGCUUUUAAGAACUUCAGCGAUAAAAACAUUGUUUUUUGAAAGCUCAAAUCCAAGCCUGAAAAUAAGAUGUGUUUCGAUUGCAAUGCUAAGAAUCCAACUUGGGCAUCGGUGACGUAUAGGAUCUUCUUGUGUAUUGAUUGCUCCAUUGUCAUCGCAGACUUGACGUUCAUAUCAGUUUUGUUAGCCAAGGGAUGCCGUUUCCGGCGAUGGGUGGGCUGGUGGCUUCGAUUGGACUCAUCAGUUUCGGCAUUUCCCGAUGGAUUUUCGACAGAGGGAAGGUCUAUCCGGCGAAUUUCACCGUGACAAUGACCAACAACGGCAGUAAUUAAUGGUGUUUUACCAGCGAGUAUUAGCCUGGACCAUUCAUGUAUUCAUAAAAUAGAUAUGUCUAUGUUGUAAUAUAAGUAUAAUAUGUAUUCUGUAAAUACAAAGUGCCACUGUUUUGAAAUGUAAAGUAUAUACAUGUCACAGUUUAGAUAUGUUUUUAUGAAUACAUAUUGCUAGAUUUGUAUUUAUGUUAAGUUGUAUUUGUUAUUCAUUAGAUUUUGACUAUGAUAUGUACUUCUUUCUUCUUGA